GAGGUGCUGCAUGGCUGUCGUCAGCUCGUGUCGUGAGAUGUUGGGUUAAGUCCCGGCAACGAGCGCAACCCCUGUCCUAUGUUGCUACCCGCAAGGGAGUACUCUUAGGAGACUGCCGGUGAUAAAUCGGAGGAAGGUGGGGACGACGUCAAGUCAUCAUGGCCUUUAUGUCCAGGGCUACACACGUGAUACAAUGGCAUAGACAGAGGGCUGCAAUGUGGCAACACGGAGCUAAAUCCCUAAACUGUGCCCCAGUUCAGAUUGUGGGCUGAAAUUCGCCCACAUGAAGGUGGAAUCGCUAGUAAUCGCAGAUCAGCAGGCUGCGGUGAAUACGUUCCCGGGCCUU
This 346-nucleotide ribosomal RNA is filed under the name uncultured bacterium. RNAcentral's name for it is "bacterial SSU rRNA". It matches the Rfam family "Bacterial small subunit ribosomal RNA", at positions 1035 to 1382 of the family's 1533-position model. The record is from RNAcentral.